CGUUCAGGGGUAAACCUGAGAAACCCGAAAGGUCGAAAGGGGAAAUUCAUUCGCGUCUCGGAUAUCGGCGAUGAGCAGCCGCGUGACGGAUGGCGUUCGCGUUGUCCGCGCCUUCUGUUUUUCGAACCGGUGACGAACGCGUGCACUUUUCCCCUAGUAGGACGUCGCGAUCCGUUGGGUGUCGGUCUACGGCUCGCGGUGGAGUCCGUGUGCGAUCGUUUCGGCGAUUCGUGCUCGAACCCGCGAUGUUCCGGCCGACUCGCUCGACGGUAUACAGAUGGCGCGAGGCCGCUACGUUAAUUAGCGUCCGACCCACGGCAAGCGCGUUCGAUGCUAAGACGGCGAUCGGACCUAGUGCCGAUUCCGUUUCCGGACGACUGUUGGCCGUGUGGAUCUCUCGGACAGACCUCGUUCGAAACGCUGAUCUGCGACGCUAUAGCUUUGGGUACUUUCAGGACCCGUCUUGAAACAC
RNAcentral lists this ribosomal RNA (472 nucleotides) under Callosobruchus maculatus (cowpea weevil). RNAcentral describes it as "partial large subunit ribosomal RNA". The record is from RNAcentral. Lineage: Eukaryota; Metazoa; Arthropoda; Insecta; Coleoptera; Chrysomelidae.